GAUGAGGAUGAUCAAGACAAUGGGAAUGACCAAACAAAUACAAAAGACAUCCUGAGUAAUACGUCCAACAGUGGACCAGACGAAGUGGACAAAGACAGAUCCAUCAGGACCAGUUUAUUUUGUGCUGACAUUCAAGAAAAUGAGGAAGACCUGUCAGAUUCUGAAUGGAACAUGCUUGAUUCUGAAGAUGAAAAUUAUGUGGACAGAGAAGACUUGAUGGAGGGCAGUACUAGUGGAGAAAACACAUCUGAAUUAUCAGUGGGAAAUGAAGAUAUAGCCGUUACUGGUGACAAGCCCUUGUAUCCUGGUGCACCUAUUUCAAAAGGAGAAAGUGUAUUAAUGCUGAUGUCCUAUCUGUUGCGGCAC
Molecule: long non-coding RNA, 366 nt
Organism: Carassius gibelio (silver crucian carp)
Lineage: Eukaryota; Metazoa; Chordata; Actinopteri; Cypriniformes; Cyprinidae
Exons: 3
Source: RefSeq, a predicted model, not a curated record